UCUUGGUCACUUAGAGGAAGUAAAAGUCGUAACAAGGUUUCCGUAGGUGAACCUGCGGAAGGAUCAUUAAUGAAAUCGAGUACGAGCUGUCGCUGGCCUUCCGGGGCAUGUGCACGCUCGGAAAACAUUUUUCACACCCCUGUGCAUCUUUUGUAGGGAGGCGGUCAAACGUCGCCCUAUGUUUCAUACCAACCUGUCAGUCCAAAGAAUGUUCCGCGCAGCGAUGCGUGUUUGUUAUAAAUACAACUUUCAGCAACGGAUCUCUUGGCUCUCGCAUCGAUGAAGAACGCAGCGAAAUGCGAUAAGUAAUGUGAAUUGCAGAAUUCAGUGAAUCAUCGAAUCUUUGAACGCACCUUGCGCUCCUCGGUAUUCCGAGGAGCAUGCCUGUUUGAGUGUCAUGGAACCAUCAACUUUGAAAGGUUCUUUGUUGAAUCUUUCAUAGCUUGGACUUUGGGAGCCUGCUGGCCUUUUCUCGAGGUCGGCUCUCCUUGAAUGCAUUAGCUGAACGGAGGUUCGGUCGCACGGCGUGAUAAAAUAUCGUCUCUGUCGUGACCGUCUUCUAUCGGCUUCUUAAUCGUCUCUCGGAGACAAUCUUUUGACCUCUGACCUCAAAUCAGGUAGGAUUACCCGCUGAACUUAAGCAUAUCAUAA
Molecule: ribosomal RNA, 651 nt
Filed under: cf. Dacryobolus sp. UC2023007
Lineage: Eukaryota; Fungi; Basidiomycota; Agaricomycetes; Polyporales; Dacryobolaceae
Description: eukaryotic LSU rRNA
Rfam family: 5.8S ribosomal RNA (bases 245-398)
Source: RNAcentral